RNAcentral lists this long non-coding RNA (431 nucleotides) under Physcomitrium patens. Its description in RNAcentral is "long non-coding RNA (PPAT_LNC014825)". The record is from RNAcentral. Lineage: Eukaryota; Viridiplantae; Streptophyta; Bryopsida; Funariales; Funariaceae.
AUUUCUCCUUCUCCAACUAUUAACUUUGACUCAAAAUUGGUUUAUAGCUUGAUCUUUAACUUUCAAUACCAUGCCAAAUUUCACCUUCAUCCAACUAAUAGAUCUUUAGAUAUCAUAAAAAUCCUACCUAAUCUCAAAGUGCCAAUUUUUGAUAUGUACUUGUACCAAAAUCCAGAUAUCUUCUAAUUUCACUAUUGAAAUAUCACAAAAUUUCACAUACAUUUAGAACACCUAAUUAUCCAAGAAUUUUCAAAAUUUGAAUUAUAGAUGUGACACCAAUUUUAUAAACUAGCUGAGAGUGCUAGGUCUAAUUUCAUUGCAUAAUUCCCAAGUUGCGAAUACAAACCUUGACUUCCAACAAUAAUUGCUAAAUUUUCCCAAAUUCUACCAAAACCAACCUUAUUUCUUAAGAACAAGCUCUAACCUAGCUC